GCAAAAUGCAUUGUCUCUGUCAUCAGAAAAUUUAGAAUGAUAAUCAAAGUGCAGUCUGAUAAGUUCUACAGUGUACAUAAUAUGGUGGAAACAGCAGAGGGAGUGCUUAACUUCUUGGAGGAAUUAGAAAAGACUUUGCAAAAGUGGUGACAUUUAAAAUGGGCCUUAAGAGUUAAAAGGAGCUCUCUAGGUAAAAAGGGAGGCAGCAGGAAUUACAGAGAUAGAAAAUAGCAACUAAGCUGAAAAGAAAAAAAAAAAAAACAUUGGCACAGAAAUGAGAAAAACGCAUGACAAGAAAGGAACUUAGGCUAGACAGGUAAAGGAGGCAAGGGACAAAGGUGAAGUUGUGAAGGAUUCAUACUGAUGCAGUUUGGGUGUGUGUCCCUUCCAUACCUCAUGUUGAAGUGUAAUCCCCCGGCCAGGCACAGUGGCUCACGCCUGUAAUCCCAGCACUUUGGGAGGCCAAGGUGGGUGAAUCACAAGGUCGGGAGAUCGAGACCAUCCUGGCUAACACGGUGAAACACUGUCUCUACGAAAAAUAUAAAACAUUAGCCAGGCGUGGUGG
RNAcentral lists this long non-coding RNA (565 nucleotides) under Homo sapiens (human). Its description in RNAcentral is "non-protein coding lnc-HAO2-7:1". The record is from RNAcentral. Lineage: Eukaryota; Metazoa; Chordata; Mammalia; Primates; Hominidae.